This 492-nucleotide ribosomal RNA is filed under the name uncultured bacterium. RNAcentral's name for it is "partial 16S ribosomal RNA". It matches the Rfam family "Bacterial small subunit ribosomal RNA", at positions 29 to 507 of the family's 1533-position model. The record is from RNAcentral.
AGUGAAUGCUGGCGGUAGGCCUAACACAUGCAAGUCGAACGGCAGCACAGUAAGAGCUUGCUCUUACGGGUGGCGAGUGGCGGACGGGUGAGGAAUACAUCGGAAUCUACUUUCUCGUGGGGGAUAACGUAGGGAAACUUACGCUAAUACCGCAUACGACCUACGGGUGAAAGCAGGGGAUCUUCGGACCUUGCGCGAUUGAAUGAGCCGAUGUCGGAUUAGCUAGUUGGCGGGGUAAAGGCCCACCAAGGCGACGAUCCGUAGCUGGUCUGAGAGGAUGAUCAGCCACACUGGAACUGAGACACGGUCCAGACUCCUACGGGAGGCAGCAGUGGGGAAUAUUGGACAAUGGGCGCAAGCCUGAUCCAGCCAUACCGCGUGGGUGAAGAAGGCCUUCGGGUUGUAAAGCCCUUUUGUUGGGAAAGAAAAGCAGCAGGUUAAUACCCCGCUGUUCUGACGGUACCCAAAGAAUAAGCACCGGCUAACUUCGUG